Non-coding RNA from Alligator mississippiensis (American alligator), 132 nucleotides. The record is from Rfam. Lineage: Eukaryota; Metazoa; Chordata; Crocodylia; Alligatoridae.
AUCAUCAUCUCUGCCUUUUUGGCUAAGAUCAAAUGUAGCACUUUUGGCACAAAGGAGAGGGUGUCACAGCUGGCUCCGGCCCUCCCAGUGCCAACUUGGUAUUGCAGUACCUCCAGGGCUGGUGCCAGUUCC